GGGUGAGUAACACGUGGGUAACCUGCCCUAAAGUCUGGGAUACCACUUGGAAACAGGUGCUAAUACCGGAUAACAACAAUAGCUGCAUGGCUAUUGCUUAAAAGGCGGCGAAAGCUGUCGCUAAAGGAUGGACCCGCGGUGCAUUAGCUAGUUGGUAAGGUAAUGGCUUACCAAGGCGACGAUGCAUAGCCGAGUUGAGAGACCGAUCGGCCACAUUGGGACUGAGACACGGCCCAAACUCCUACGGGAGGCAGCAGUAGGGAAUCUUCCACAAUGGGCGAAAGCCUGAUGGAGCAACGCCGCGUGAGUGAAGAAGGUUUUCGGAUCGUAAAGCUCUGUUGUUGGUGAAGAAGGAUAGAGGUAGUAACUGGCCCCUAUUUGACGGUAAUCAACCAGAAAGUCACGGCUAACUACGUGCCAGCAGCCGCGGUAAUACGUAGGUGGCAAGCGUUGUCCGGAUUUAUUGGGCGUAAAGCGAGCGCAGGCGGAAAGAUAAGUCUGAUGUGAAAGCCCCCGGCUUAACCGAGGAAUUGCAUCGGAAACUGUGUUUCUUGAGUGCAGAAGAGGAGAGUGGAACUCCAUGUGUAGCGGUGGAAUGCGUAGAUAUAUGGAAGAACACCAGUGGCGAAGGCGGCUCUCUGGUCUGUAACUGACGCUGAGGCUCGAAAGCAUGGAUAGCGAACAGGAUUAGAUACCCUGGUAGUCCAUGCCGUAAACGAU
RNAcentral lists this ribosomal RNA (720 nucleotides) under uncultured bacterium. RNAcentral's name for it is "bacterial SSU rRNA". It matches the Rfam family "Bacterial small subunit ribosomal RNA", at positions 104 to 810 of the family's 1533-position model. The record is from RNAcentral.